UACGAAGGGUGCAAGCGUUACUCGGAAUUACUGGGCGUAAAGCGUGCGUAGGUGGUUUGUUAAGUCUGAUGUGAAAGCCCUGGGCUCAACCUGGGAAUGGCAUUUGGGACUGCAAGGCUCGAGUGCGGCAGAGGAGACUGGAAUUCCUGGUGUAGCAGUGAAAUGCGUAGAUAUCAGGAGGAACACCGAUGGCGAAGGCAGGUCUCUGGGCUGACACUGACGCUCAUGCACGAAAGCGUGGGGAGCAAACAGG
RNAcentral lists this ribosomal RNA (253 nucleotides) under uncultured bacterium. RNAcentral's name for it is "partial 16S ribosomal RNA". It matches the Rfam family "Bacterial small subunit ribosomal RNA", at positions 524 to 776 of the family's 1533-position model. The record is from RNAcentral.